CCUUCCCUUUGGGGGAAGGUCAAGAAAGUUGGUGACGUGAAGCCCCGUGAACGGCGGUCGUAACUAUAACGGUCCUAAGGUAGCGAAAUUUCUUGUUGGGUAAGUUUUGACAUGCACGAAAGG
Ribosomal RNA from Beta vulgaris subsp. vulgaris (sugar beet), 123 nucleotides. It matches the Rfam family "Bacterial large subunit ribosomal RNA", at positions 1858 to 1999 of the family's 2925-position model. The record is from Rfam. NCBI's taxonomy places the organism in Eukaryota, Viridiplantae, Streptophyta, Magnoliopsida, Caryophyllales, Amaranthaceae.